RNAcentral lists this ribosomal RNA (253 nucleotides) under uncultured bacterium. RNAcentral's name for it is "partial 16S ribosomal RNA". It matches the Rfam family "Bacterial small subunit ribosomal RNA", at positions 524 to 776 of the family's 1533-position model. The record is from RNAcentral.
UACGUAGGGGGCAAGCGUUGUUCGGAAUUACUGGGCGUAAAGGGCGCGUAGGCGGCACAGCAAGUCGGGUGUGAAAGCCCGGGGCUCAACCCCGGAACUGCUUUCGAAACUGCUGAGCUAGAGUGCGGAAGGGGCGACCGGAAUUCCCAGUGUAGCGGUGAAAUGCGUAGAUAUCAGGAGGAACACCGGUGGCGAAGGCGGUUCUCUGGGCAUUACCUGACGCUGAGGAGCGAAAGUGUGGGGAGCGAACAGG